This 513-nucleotide ribosomal RNA is filed under the name uncultured bacterium. Its description in RNAcentral is "bacterial SSU rRNA". It matches the Rfam family "Bacterial small subunit ribosomal RNA", at positions 28 to 523 of the family's 1533-position model. The record is from RNAcentral.
GACGAACGCUGGCGGCGUGCCUAAUACAUGCAAGUAGAACGCUGAAGAGAGGAGCUUGCUCUUCUUGGAUGAGUUGCGAACGGGUGAGUAACGCGUAGGUAACCUGCCUUGUAGCGGGGGAUAACUAUUGGAAACGAUAGCUAAUACCGCAUAACAAUGGAUGACACAUGUCAUUUAUUUGAAAGGAGCAAUUGCUCCACUACAAGAUGGACCUGCGUUGUAUUAGCUAGUAGGUGAGGUAAUGGCUCACCUAGGCGACGAUACAUAGCCGACCUGAGAGGGUGAUCGGCCACACUGGGACUGAGACACGGCCCAGACUCCUACGGGAGGCAGCAGUAGGGAAUCUUCGGCAAUGGGGGCAACCCUGACCGAGCAACGCCGCGUGAGUGAAGAAGGUUUUCGGAUCGUAAAGCUCUGUUGUAAGUCAAGAACGGGUGUGAGAGUGGAAAGUUCACACUGUGACGGUAGCUUACCAGAAAGGGACGGCUAACUACGUGCCAGCAGCCGCGGUAC